CGGCCACCACAUAGUUUCACACCCCUCUCCACUACUAAGGGACAACUAGCUUCCUCUAUAUUUUUCUAAGAAAUUUCUAACAACCAUCAAAUUCAUUUUUUCAUUUUUAUCAUUGGUUCCUGUUAAAAUUAUUAUAGGUUUUGAAGGGAAAUAUUGAUUUUAAUUUAUUGCUAUGAUUUUUCUUUGAUUUGGCUCCUUUUGGAACGAAUUGACAAUAUCGUCAGAAGGAGAAGAAAAGGACUGGAACCUGAUGACAAGCAUGGAAGAUGAAGAAGAAAGCAGCAAUGGAUGUCCUCCAAGGAAGAAGCUCCGUCUCUCCAAAGAAUAAUCUCGUCUUCUCAAAGGAAGUUUCAGGCAAAACCAUACCCCGGAAAAGUUUCCUUCAAUGGUCACCGGUUGAAUGCGUUUGUUCCCCAGAGCACGUUAGCUUAUAUAAGCCAAGAAGAUCUGCAUAUUGUUGUGAUAACUGAGUGAAACACUUGAAUUUGCUGCCCAAUGUCUUCAUGUUGGAAACCAAGGAAAUAUGAUGAUGGAAGUCAGUAAAAGAGAGGAGACAGGCACUGUUCCAGAUCCAGAUGUAGAUACUUACAUGAAGCCUCCAUGCUAGGGUGGUUGAAGUGGGAUUUUUGGGUUUCCCCUUUUUCAUAUGGAAAGAUAGGCCUUUCAGUAAAUAAAUUUUUUGCUCCUCAGUGGCAAAAGGCAAGAUCGAGCAAAGGCUGUCGAGAUUCUUGUCAAGGACCUUAAGGUUUUUGCAUCUUUCAAUGGAGAUCUUUUCAAGGGGAUUACUCAGCUCCUUACUCUUGAUAACUUUAGGCAAAAUGAGCAUCUUUCCAAGUGUGGAGACACAAAAUCGGCUUGUAAUAUUAUGCUUGUAGAACUCAAAAAGCUAAUUGAAGCAAACCCCCUAUUUCGUGACAAGCUUAUACAUUCCCAGCCUUCAAAAGUUCACGUCUGAGGACAUUACUAAACCAGAGGUGAUCAAGGAGUGAGUCGAAUGAAGGAUUCUCAAACGUAAACAAAGAUCGUCAGGAGGAGGAGAAGAGGACUGGAACCUGAUGACGAGUAUGGAAGAUGAGGAAGAAAGCAGCAAUAGAUGUCCUCCGAGGAAGAAGUUCUGUCUCUCCAAAGAAUAAUCUCGUCUUCUCAAAGAAAGUUUCAGGCAAAACCAUACCCCGGGAAAAGUUUCCUUCGAUGGUCACCGGUUGGAUGAGUUUGUUCCCCAGAAAAUGUCAGCUUAUAUAAGCCAAGAAGAUCUGCAUAUUGCUGUGAUGACUGAGGGAAACACUUGAAUUUGCUGCCCAAUGUCUUGGUGUUGGAAACCGCAGAAAUAUGAUGAUGGAAGUCAGUAAAAGAGAGGAGCCAGGCACUGUUCCGGAUCCAGAUGUAGAUACUUACACAAAGGUUCUUCUGUCAGUUCAUUCUACUUUUUGUGGUGCACCUUGCCUUUAUAUCCAUGUUACGGUUGUUGGCACCAGUUUGCCAGACUCUGGCUGCUGCUAUGAUAGCUGGUGUUUUCGCAUUAUACUAGUCCUAAUUUUUGGUGGUUUCAUCAUCGCACAUAGUUAGACUAUUUGGACCUCAUUCAAUUUGAUUUCAAAAUCAUCUUCAAAAAGGAUAAACUUGUGCUAUGUCAUUGGUUGCAACCUUCAUGCCAGGGUGGUUGAGGUGGGAUUUUCGGGUUUCCCCUCUUUCAUAUGGAGAGAUAGGCCUUUCACUAAAUGAAUUUCUCGCUUCUCAGCGGCAAAAACCAGAUAGUAGUUUUACCAAUGGUAGUGUUUGUGCUGCCUAGAAACACUACCAUUGGGUACUUGAAAGCCAUGGAUUAUUAAACUUUGAUGAAUCUUAUUUCUGGCUAGCAUUGGGCGCCUUGUUUGGCAUGGCUUUACUUUUCGACAUUGGCUUUAUCUUGACCUUAAGUUUGUUGAAGCCCCCCUGAUCAUCUUGUGUGAUGAUUUUGCAAGAAAAGUUGGGCAAGAUUCAAGGAGGUUAGGAUUCCGUUGAUGGUAAACUUGUGAAAGAAAAGUCUAGAAAUACUCCCACAAAGGAGAAGAAGAAAUUCCCAACUGCUUUCUGAUAUUCUGUUGGAUUAAGGCCUGAUGUGCUUACAGCCUUGAUGGGUGUUAGUGAAGCUGGAAAAUCCACUCUUCUAUGUUUUGGCCAUACAAUGUUGUAUUGAUAACAAACUUGUUCUUCUUGCUUUAAUCUCUCAUGAAUCAAUCAGUGAGGGUUUGUUAGUACUGAAAGCUCUGUGCUCAUUCUCCUGGAAAACUAAACUGAGGCCUCCAAUCAUGCACGUGUACAAAAGGAAAAGCAAAGGAAUUAAACAAAGGAAGAUCUCAGGCACAUUAUCAGGAGAAAACAACAAACAAUGAGGAAGCAAUUCAGAAGACAACAAAGAGGCAAAAUCAGGGCAGAUAAUGGUAGUUGAAAUCAAGGCACAAAUAAAAUAAACUGAAAUCAGGGCCGGACAACCAGACCAAGAUUGACAGAACAAAGCCAAAACAGACUAUAAAAAGAGAAGAUCAGAUGAAGAAGAGGCAAGCAAGAAUUCAAUAAUUCUUUAAGGGGGUUUUACAGCCAAAAAAGAGAGGGGGCUGGCACCUCUACUGCAAGUAUAUUUCUAGUUCUUAUUACUAGUUUCUGAAAGAGAAUAAACACUUGUAGUCUGAAGUUUCAUCAAAAAAAAAUUUUGUGCAUGUGUAUUUACACAUUCUGUGGUUCUCUAUUGAUUAUAUAUUCUGUAAUUUUCGAUCAAAGAGGUAUCAGCCAACACUGGGGGCUGGGUUAUGGUGAACACCCCACAUGGAUUCUAGGGUAGAUCAAGUGGUGACAGAUUAGUUGGAGGUUGAAAUUCGAUCUCUAAUGGAGGGAUUUAGUGAGAUGAAAGACCUGUUAAUAAUAAUCUGUCAGAGCAACCAACAACAACAUAGAGACAAAAUUUGAAUGGUAACAAUUAACAAUCCAAGGAGAAACCAGAGAACCAAGCAAUGGGAGAACAAGGACAAAGGAUGCUGAUGUAAGGCAGAAUCAUCAAAAAAAGGGGAAUUAAGGUUGAUGAUCAAUGAAAAUAUGUUGUUGUGAAAUGUGUGGAUAUUCGAACAAUAGAUUUAACGUCUAGAAUUGCCUCCUUUUUUGGUAAAGUUUCCCAUCAGGUGGAUUUUUUGGGCAGAAUGAUACUUCGUUGUGAAUCGAAUGAGAGAAAGGGACAAGUUGCCAGCAAUCACAAUCUGCAUGGAUGAUUGGCCUUGUUUUGGUUACAGUGGAUGGAAUCCUGGAAUCUCAUAACAAAAUACGUGAUUGAGCAUGAUAAUUCAACUUCGAGAGAGUGAACAGGUCCAUGGUAGGAUACUGGUAUAGACCAGUUUUUUCUUGUAUGCACAUUUUUCUGUAGCAAUAAUUUUUGUGGUACAGUGAGACUAAUAAUUGAGUUUCUAUCGUUUGUGGA
Long non-coding RNA from Mangifera indica (mango), 3445 nucleotides. RefSeq lists it as uncharacterized. The record is from RefSeq and is a predicted model, not a curated record. NCBI's taxonomy places the organism in Eukaryota, Viridiplantae, Streptophyta, Magnoliopsida, Sapindales, Anacardiaceae. The transcript has 14 exons.